GCUUCGGUAGCUCAGUGGUAAAGCUCCUCAUAUAGUGAGCGAAAGCGCCUAGCAACAACAAGCAGGCGGUCGCAGGUUCGAAUCCUGACCGGUGGU
Molecule: transfer RNA, 96 nt
Filed under: Meloidogyne enterolobii
Lineage: Eukaryota; Metazoa; Nematoda; Chromadorea; Rhabditida; Meloidogynidae
Description: tRNA-Pseudo
Source: RNAcentral